UGGUAACUCCACCACCGUUGGCUGAUUGAAUGAAGUUGUCAACGGUAGAGGAGUUCCUUAU
Molecule: microRNA precursor, 61 nt
Filed under: Blattella germanica (German cockroach)
Lineage: Eukaryota; Metazoa; Arthropoda; Insecta; Blattodea; Blattellidae
Description: Bge-Mir-2765_pre stem-loop
Source: RNAcentral